AUUGGCAACAACAGGCCCAUUUAAAAACGGCAAGUGUUUUUCUGUAAGAAAAGAAACUCAAAAUAGAGAUAAUAAAAUACAGAAUCAAUUCACCUACACUUUGUCCCACCAGGUGGCAGGAUAGUAUCAGAACUAAGGACAGAAGACUCAGGCCACCUCUUCACGUUGACACUCAACAGCAAGAAACAAAGGGGGGGAAAGGUGUGGUUGUUAAUACCUUUUCUUUAAAAGGUUAUCAGAAACAAAGGGGGGGAAAGGUGUGGUUGUUAAUACCUUUUCUUUAAAAGGUUAUCAGAAACAAAGGGGGGGAAAGGUGUGGUUGUUAAUAGCUUUUCUUUAAAAGGUUAUCAGAAACAAAGGGGGGGAAAGGUGUGGUUGUUAAUAGCUUUUCUUUAAAAGGUUAUCAGAAACAAAGGGGGGGAAAGGUGUGGUUGUUAAUAGCUUUUCUUUAAAAGGUUAUCAGAAACAAAGGGGGGGAAAGGUGUGGUUGUUAAUAGCUUUUCUUUAAAAGGUUAUCAGAAACAAAGGGGGGGAAAGGUGUGGUUGUUAAUAGCUUUUCUUUAAAAGGUUAUCAGAAACAAAGGGGGGGAAAGGUGUGGUUGUUAAUAGCUUUUCUUUAAAAGGUUAUCAGAAACAAAGGGGGGGAAAGGUGUGGUUGUUAAUAGCUUUUCUUUAAAAGGUUAUCAGAAACAAAGGGGGGGAAAGGUGUGGUUGUUAAUAGCUUUU
Long non-coding RNA from Oncorhynchus keta (chum salmon), 726 nucleotides. RefSeq lists it as uncharacterized. Lineage: Eukaryota; Metazoa; Chordata; Actinopteri; Salmoniformes; Salmonidae. The record is from RefSeq and is a predicted model, not a curated record. The transcript has 4 exons.